CUUCUGCAAGGACCUGUCCUCGUCAGCGGCAGCAGAGAGGCAGGAGUGCUGUGGAGCUGGCUUCUGCUUCUCUCCUGUCUCCAGAGGAGGCUCCUUGUCUGGUGCUGGCUCUGGCUGCAGAGCAGGCCCAUGGUGUUCUGGACAUGGAGCCGGAGCUAGGAGGAGGAAAGCUCAGCAGUGUCAGUCACUUGCCAGUUCCCUGCGGAGCAUAGAAAAGACAUCCUGGCCAUUUGGGGGAUUCCAAUGCCCAACCAAAAGCCAUGAAAGCCUUCCGGACUGCUGUGGCCCUCACCAUCUGUUUCGGCCUCGUGGGGCUCUAGAUAUUCCACCUGAGCAAGGGGAAGGCACAAGGGAGGCUCCAUGUCUGCUCCAGGCCCCUUACAUACCCUGAGCGCGAGGGGAAGCACUGCCCAUGAGAGGUCACGGCUGGCGCUGACGUCCAGGAUGGGCACUGGGCUGCCUCUCUCACAUGUGGGUUCCUCCUGAACAUUAGCUGGAAACAUCUGCGGCCAGAGCCGAGCCAAGGUCGGAAAAGGCUCGGAUUGCGGUCCUUUCUGUGGCUAGACCUUCGGAAAGCGGGAAAAUGGCAACAGCUCAUCCUCCCCUCUUCUCUGUCUCCCUCCAAGGGGUCAGGACGGGAGACAGCUUCAGAAGGGCACCCAGUUUCGCUGGGUUCUAAUACCAAGGAAGUGAGGUCGCAUCCUCAAAGUUUCGCUACAGUUAGGGUGAGGAAGUGGCUUAGGACCAAGGGGCAAGGUGCAGUUUGGGUUGCGGUUUUUGUUGGGAUUUGGUUGAGGUUUAGGAAUACAUUUAGGCUUCUAUUAUGGCUGAGGGUGGGAGAUUCAGUGUUAGAAAGCAGGCCUGCAGUUUACAUUGUUGUUUAUUUUUAUUGUGCAGUUCACAAUCAUUUGAGGAGUGGCUACAUGUACAUAACAGAGCUUGAAGGGCCGGGGAUUUAGCUCAGUGGCACCAUGCCUGCCUCACCAGCACAAGGUCCUGAGUUCAAUCCCCGGUACCAAAAGAAAGAAAAACCAAAAAUACCAAAACAACAACAACUCAUAGUACAGCUUAUAUAUAUUACGAGUUUUAGAUUUAUAUACAAUUAAGAUGGCCACCCAGUUCUUCCAUUUCCUGUUAUUAAUGUCAUCCAUUAGUCUAGUACAUCCUGUACAAGGAGUGAGCAAAUAUUGAUGUAUAAUUACUAACUAAGAUCCACCUUCACCACUUGCUCUCCACAACAAUCUGCAGUCCCGUCCGGGCUGCCACAUUGCAUUUCAUUGUUGCAUCCCUCAGACGCCCCUUGACUGAUGUUUUCACAAGUUUUCCUUUUUUCGUUUUGUAUGAGCUGACAGUUUGGAGGAUGACUGAGCUGAUAUCUUAUAGAAUGUCCCUCAAUUUAAGUUUUCCUGAUGUUUCCUUCCUGAUUAGAUGAGGGUUACAUGUUUGGGUGCGUGGCUUUCUGCAGGUGUUCCAUGUUCCUGACUGCACCCUCAUCCUGGGUUCUCCAGUGCACCUUUGGCUUAACUCUCACAGCUGCAUGCACUGCCCUCUCAGGGACACCCAGCCUGGCCUGCCAGGCCUUCUUUUGAAAUUUGGGUGGAAGCCUUCCUGACUCAACUCUUGCGUUCUGCAUACCUGUGAAAACAGCACCCUGUAGAUGACACAAAGUUCUACCACUGGCUCCAAGCAGUCCUUAGGCCUUUGUGCAUCAUGGCUGCAGAAGCAUCCGCGGGCCUGGAUGGCUGAGCACUGUGAACUGAAUGAAUCCCAGGGAACCCGCCCAG
This is a long non-coding RNA of Heterocephalus glaber (naked mole-rat), 1784 nucleotides long. NCBI's taxonomy places the organism in Eukaryota, Metazoa, Chordata, Mammalia, Rodentia, Bathyergidae. The record is from Ensembl.